GUUUGAUUGACAGCGGGCAACAUAGUCAGCGUGUGUUGACAUUGGAAUUACAGAGAAAACUGAAAAACAGGUGUCAUGAUUUUUUUUAAGAUUUGGCUCACAGCUAAUCUGGAUGUUUGCGACAGAGAGUGAACAAGGACGAGUUAGGCUAACAUGUCAGAUUAGCCUUUUCACAGAGGUGUCAUCGUAAGAUAAACACAGGAA
Molecule: long non-coding RNA, 204 nt
Organism: Gadus macrocephalus (Pacific cod)
Lineage: Eukaryota; Metazoa; Chordata; Actinopteri; Gadiformes; Gadidae
Exons: 2
Source: RefSeq, a predicted model, not a curated record